GACGAACGCUGGCGGCGUGCCUAAUACAUGCAAGUAGAACGCUGAAGAGAGGAGCUUGCUCUUCUUGGAUGAGUUGCGCACGGGUGAGUAACGCGUAGGUAACCUGCCUUGUAGCGGGGGAUAACUAUUGGAAACGAUAGCUAAUACCGCAUAACAAUGGAUGACACAUGUCAUUUAUUUGAAAGGGGCAAUUGCUCCACUACAAGAUGGACCUGCGUUGUAUUAGCUAGUAGGUGAGGUAACGGCUCACCUAGGCGACGAUACAUAGCCGACCUGAGAGGGUGAUCGGCCACACUGGGACUGAGACACGGCCCAGACUCCUACGGGAGGCAGCAGUAGGGAAUCUUCGGCAAUGGGGGCAACCCUGACCGAGCAACGCCGCGUGAGUGAAGAAGGGUUUCGGAUCGUAAAGCUCUGUUGUAAGUCAAGAACGAGUGUGAGAGUGGAAAGUUCACACUGUGACGGUAGCUUACCAGAAAGGGACGGCUAACUACGUG
Molecule: ribosomal RNA, 497 nt
Filed under: uncultured bacterium
Lineage: Bacteria
Description: partial 16S ribosomal RNA
Rfam family: Bacterial small subunit ribosomal RNA
Source: RNAcentral